Long non-coding RNA from Panthera uncia (snow leopard), 2134 nucleotides. RefSeq lists it as uncharacterized. NCBI's taxonomy places the organism in Eukaryota, Metazoa, Chordata, Mammalia, Carnivora, Felidae. The transcript is spliced from 2 exons. The record is from RefSeq and is a predicted model, not a curated record.
GUGAUCGUGACGUUGAACUUUCUCAACAGAGGGUGCUAGAGGGACACUGAAGGAAGAAAGGACUCUCCCCUGUUCCCUGCUGCUUCCAGGGGUGCUAUCUCAAGCCUCUUACCAUGCCAGCUUCCAUCUGCAAGCCCAUAUACCUGACCCACCUCCCAGCUCCUCCCUGCAGGAUUGCCGUGGGGCUGGGCUCCCGCUCGCAAGCACACCCUUGUGCCUGGCCACCACGCGCCGUUCACGUCACAGUCACCCAGUACUCUGGUGCCCCUUCAGCAGCCCAGGUCCAUGUUGCAGCCAUCACCUGCAGGUCACUUAUGCGCUGCCUGAAUUCUGGAGGGUCGGUUUCUGCAGAUAAGCUCUGGUGCAUGCCAUGCCGCCCGUGAACUUCCCUGGCAUCUAGUGGGUUCCAGCUACAGCCUUGGGAGGGACCCUGUUUGAAGUUUAUUCUUCUCUCGCUACCCUCUCCCAGCCCUGGGAUUACCAUGUAGAGUUUCUUUUAUAUCCUAUAGUUAAUCUUUUAUCGAAGUCUAAUAAUGCUUCAUUAAAAAAAAUACGACAUGAUGUCUGCCUCGUGAUUGGCCCCAUUGAUGCUUGCACAUUUUGGCCUACAAUAAAGGUAAAUAUAACUUAAAACUUGUAAUAUUCGAGCUUCCACUGGUAUUGAGCCAGAUACCAUCUAAAGUUUCAAAUAAAAAAAUGACAUUUUAGAAAUAAAACUUUCCAAACUGCACAAAUCCAUAUUUAAAUUUCUUAAAUAUUUUGAAUAACAAGAAUUCAUACCUUUAAGUCUGCAAAUGGGUUCACUAUCAGGAUCAGAAUGUUGAGUAUUUGCCUAAAGUUGACAAAAACGCAGAACUGGGAACAGUCACUCCUGGACUCACAGGAAUUUUAGAAAGUAACAUACCCCCCCCCCCCCCCUUAUAGCUCCCAUCAAUGCAAAACGGCAAAACUCUUACUUGAGUUAAGAUUUUUUGUAGCAGAGCCUCUAGCUUACCAAUGUCUUUCUCCCUGUGGUUAUUAAACCUGGAACAGAAAAAAAAAAUCACUUGAUUUUAAUUUAUAUUCUUCUAGUCAGAGAAUAGGUGUUAGCAGGGGGUUCCUGGUUGUUUUUCUGAGGCUGAAUUAAACUGUAGCACCAAAUGAACGUUUCACGUAACUUGCUACAGUGUUUACUCAUGGUGUAAUUGCUCAGCACCACCGUGGACAAACCUCUGCAAGAAAGGUGAGGACAAAUGAGUCGUAAUGGAGGGUAAACACUUCACCUAAAACAAGGAAACACGGGCAAAUGUCCUACCUUCUAGGGUUGGGAACAAUCAGUUCAGGAAAGAAUCAAAGGCUCUCAUUGUUAACGGGGCACAAGUAAUGUGAUCGUGGAAAUGGGCGCAGGAACGGAGGGAGGAAUCGGAAUUCAGGGAGAGUAUAGAGGCGACAGUCUCCUCACCUGGCAUGGUAGAAAGUCAAGUUGUAAAGAAACAGGCAGAAGACCAGAGCAUCUUUCUCUAGAGAAACCAGACGGUGAGGGAGAAGGCACUAAUAUUCACUAGGAUCUGGAGACUCCCACCCCAUACUUGUCAGCAGACAGGACACCCCAAAACUUAGUGGUUCAAAUCAUGUAGAACUUGGUUUUUCUUUCAUGGAAAAAAGAGGCAUACGAGCAUGUAGGAUGGUCAGCAGCCCUGCCCAAUAUGGUCAACCAGGGACCACUGUCCCUUUCUGCUUAUUGUCUCCACAUGCCUUGGGGUGCUGUCCUCCUCAGCAAGGCAGAAGUUGGCUCCAAGCACCCCGUCAGCCCUUUGCAUGAGGAAAGAGGAAGCAGAGAACAAGCAGGGGAGUGACUGGGAAGUUGCAGCCAUGGGGAGGCUCUUGCUGAGGGGUCACGCGUCCUGCUGAUAUUUAAAGUGGUGGAAGUGAUUCUGUUCCUUAAAAUAAAAGCGGGAGGGGUUAAUUUAGGAAACCAAGGAGCAGUUUCUGCCACAACUGCAAUUUAAAUGCCUCACUGUACCAUCAACCCUGCAAGUAAGGCUAAUGCCGGCAAAAGUUGUUCGUAUCCAUAGAACUUUAAAUUAGGUGAUUUGGGCUUUGCUCUUAUAAAAAGAAAAACUGACCAAUGAUCGUUCGCACACUGUAAAGAGAA